UACGUAGGGGGCAAGCGUUGUCCGGAAUCAUUGGGCGUAAAGCGCGCGUAGGCGGCCCGGUAAGUCCGUUGUGAAAGUCAAAGGCUCAACCUUUGAACGCCGAUGGAUACUGCCGGGCUAGAGUCCGGAAGAGGCGAGUGGAAUUCCGAGUGUAGAGGUGAAAUUCGUAGAUAUUCGGAAGAACACCAGUGGCGAAGGCGACUCACUGGACACGUAUUGACGCUGAGGUGCGAAAGCGUGGGGAGCAAACAGG
This 253-nucleotide ribosomal RNA is filed under the name uncultured bacterium. Its description in RNAcentral is "partial 16S ribosomal RNA". It matches the Rfam family "Bacterial small subunit ribosomal RNA", at positions 524 to 776 of the family's 1533-position model. The record is from RNAcentral.